GCGGGCGUGGCGGAAUUGGUAGACGCGCCGGGUUUAGGACCCGGUGGAGCUUGCUCCUUAGAGGUUCAAGUCCUCUCGCCCGCA
Molecule: transfer RNA, 84 nt
Filed under: Actinomycetota bacterium
Lineage: Bacteria; Bacillati; Actinomycetota
Description: tRNA-Leu
Rfam family: tRNA
About the family: Transfer RNA (tRNA) molecules are approximately 80 nucleotides in length.
Source: RNAcentral